ACUUUCUGAGGGUGGGGCACAGUAAAAGGCUGAGAGUCUAGAAUUUUUUUGAAGCCCCCAGUGGGUCAUCGAAGCUAUAUAGUGGGACAGAGGGGCAAAGCCCCUUUAACCUACGGAGUUUUGACAAAAAGCUGUGAUAAAGCUUGUGACAAGACCAAGCGGUGGAUAGAACAACAAUGACGACCCAGUACUGUUGAACGUGGAGAAAAAAGUAUUUCAAUUGUAUAAUAUACACGCUAAUUGGCUGCAUGAAAGGCGAAGAUAACGAAAAGUGAUCAAUCUCACAACUCCUAUAAGCAAUACAAAAUAGUUAGUUGGGCAAACACGGACCCCUGGACACACCAGAGGUGGGAUCAGGUGCCCAGGAGGAGUAAGCAUCUCCUGUUGACCGGUCACACCCGCCGUGAGCCCUAUAUCCUGAUCAGGUAAACGGAGUUAUCUGUAGUCAAAAUCAGUGUGCCAAGAACGCCCUAACAAUCGGUAUGAAACACGUCAGAUUGAUUGAUUGAUUGAUGUUUUCCGCCACACUCAACAAUUUUUCAGUUUAUAUAUGGUGGCGCCCAGUUUUUAUUGGUGGAAGAGAGAACCCAGAUACAAUGUACCUGGGAAGAGACCACCGACCUUCCGCAAGUAAACUGGGAAACGUUCACACUUACCGGCCCGAGCGGGAUUCGAACCCGCGCCGACAGGUGAGAGGCCGUGUGAUUUUGAGUGCGAUGCUCUAACCACUAUGCCACGGAGGCCUGAAACACGUCAGACAGCAUUUGACCAAUCAUAGGUUGUAUUGCAUAUGUUAUAUAACGUUGUUUUUGUGUUUAUUUUUUUUAAAUAGCAUAGUGUCAUGGAAUCGCAGUAAAAGUUCUUUGAAUGUCAAAAUAUGGCAUGUACAGAAAGGAUUUUCAAUGUUAAAUUAUUUUUUUUUCAGUUUUGAUUUAGUUGUUAUUAUUUUCAUGAGUGCGAAGCUAAUAAAGACUCUAACGAAAAGGCCUUCCCAGUUUUUUCAAGACCUCAGAGUUUAUGAUCUUGAGACUGAAAGACCACUAUAUGUAGUAUAUAUGUUCAUCAACCUAUAUGAAACGUAUAUACAUGUACGUUGUGAAAGUUCCAGUGGCAUACUUUGGGAAGGGACCAGAUGGCUUCUUCUUUAGAACACAAAAAUAUUCUAAAUGAGUCAUUCUCUUUCAUUACUUUGUUUUUAAAUAUCGAAUAGAAUUGCCAUUUUAUGUCAUUUAAACCAAACUUAUCAGGAGCCCCCCCCCCCCCCCCCCCCCCUACUGCCCAAGGGGAUCGUAUAUUUGGUGCUCACUCCAUCCUUGGUUCCUUCCCUCACUCCUAGAAAGUCCACGAUCCACCACUGAUAUCGAGAACAAAUUUCACAAACUAUUGAACAAAUAAGAUGGAAAAAAGCCAGUACAAUUAAUCGAUAGGUAUGUAAAUGAUGAAAGUGAAUAGAUGUAUAUUAUCGAUUUUGAGGAAAGUGACGUUUCACUUACAUAAAGAAGCCUUAAAUCGGUGUUGAUAGGUAAUCUGAAAUUUCAAUGAAAGUUCCAAACACGGAAGAAACUCGUGAUUGGAAACACCCCUCGAUCAAUAAUAUUCUAGUUUUCCCCGGAAUGUGGAGGCUUUCAACAGGUCGUUUCCAUAAUGUACAUUUGCAAUAUAGAUUCACAUUUGCAUGCAAAACAACUUCCUAUAGUUGCUUUGCGACCGCAGUAUGGAAAAAAGAUUUGUUACCAAAUUGUUGGCAGAACAUUUUCGCAGGAAAUCAAUUGAACACGGUGGCGAUUUUUUUUUUAUGAACGUGUAACGAUCGGGGUUGUUGGUAUAAAUAAUUCAACAAAAAUGCCAAUCGCCAAUUAUAACUGCUAGGCUCACAUAAUUACCUUUUUAAAAAGUACCAGUUCAAAGCAGUUCCGACCGUGUUUAUGUGCAAUGAAGUUUUCAGAGCAUUUAAAACUGUUUAUUGUGAUAAGAACGGCAGCUGGUGUAAUUACAGCUGGUGUGCAGACGAAAAUCAGCUGUUAUUCAUAGCACACAAAAUUUAAAUACAUGUAUAUAUAAAGCUUUGAACAUGACACAUCCUUGUAACUCAGAUUUCCUAGAAUUUCCCCAUGUCUCUGUCAAUAACUUGUGAGUUUUUGCAAUCGGGAACAAGAGACAGACUCCCAUUACACAAUCUUAUAGUGGUUUGAUCGCCAUAGUCUUAAUAAUCGGAAGGGGUAAUAUUUAGAUUUAGAUAUGAUUCCCAGAAUUCCAUAUAAUCAUGCCUAUACCUUAUAGUUUUAGACAGUUCUGAAAUGUGUCAAAAGUAUGAGGAGAGACCACCCUUAAAAUGAAAAAUAUCAACAGCAAAUAAAGCUGAACCGGGCAAAAGUCACAGUUUACUAACACUACAACAAUUCCAAAGGCGACGUAAUUACUCUGCUUUAAAGAAUAUUCCUAUUUAUUAUAUAGCUAAUAUAAAUAGUCUAUUAUAAAAUCUGCUUAAAAUCUAGAGAAUGUUAGCGUUCAAUAUCAUUAGAAUUUAUUGAACGCUAACUUUGCAUUGCGUAAAUCAUGUGAGCCCGAAACAUUCCGAAUAUGAGCGUUCAAUAUUGACGUUACCGUAACGACGUAAACAAGCCAAAAUUCCUCCGAAGUUGACAGAGCCGGUAUUUGAUAUAAUAUUCAAUCAUUUAAGCAAAAUGUUUUACUGUACAUAAAUUAUGAUGUCCCCAUUCACAAAAUCAGUUUGCUUCAUGCAUUAAUGACGGGUUUAAUAUUGAACAGUUAAGAAAUGCAGGCUGACAUUGCACAUUACCUUAGAUGCCAAUAUUGACGAAUUCUCGUCUAUUUUAGAGUAUUUUUAGUGAUAAGGGAUAUAAUUUAACAACGAAAUACUUUAGCUAUAUAAUAAAAGGGUUAUUGAACUUAUAUUGGUGAAUAUUGCAGCCAACUCGUGCCAAUAUUCACCAAUAUAAGUUCAAUAACCCUAUAAUAUCCCCAUGUAAAAAAAAUUAUCCACUAUUGUGGCCCCACCGAACCCUUGAGACCAUGAUUCAAACAAUUCUGAAUCUACACUGAUAAGGAAGCUUUCACGUAAGUCUAGUCCAGUGGUUCUUGAGAAGAUUUUUAAAGACACCAGCAUAUUUCACUCUUUACCCAAGGAUGCUUCAUGGUAAGUUUGGUUGAAAUUGGCCGUGUGGUUCUGGAACAAGUAAAAAAAAAAUUGUAAAGUUUAUGGACAUACGAACAGAUAGACGGACGCCGGACAACUGAUGAUCAUAAAAGCUCACUUGAGCUUAUAGCUCAGGUGAGCUAAAAAGUAUUUUCAAUUAAUAUGAAGAGCUACGCCAUAAUUUGUCAUGUUAAUAUGCAAGCAUCGUCAGGUAGUGCAGAUUCUUUCUUGAAAAAAAAAAACAGGAGGAAAAAAAAUAAAAUCUUCUCUUAAGAGUAGCAGGGCCCACACUAACUCAUAUAAACAUGCAAGCAUUCCCAAGUUGUGUUGAUGCAAGUUGGUUUUUUAUGUGGAUCCUGGGGAUAGAGUGGGCUAGAAUCGAGGAUCAAAUUUCUACGUAAUACAGUACAUGAAUAAUGGCGCGGUGGCAAAUCUUCUACAGAACAGCAAGGUCAAAUGAUAAAAUUGAAUGAACUAUCCCCAUAUUAUGUGGAUUCAAGUUCAGUUUAGCCAUGGUCCUGUGGGAUUAAGGUGGGACUAUAAAAUGGGUUUUAAUUUUUUUUAGGGGAAAAAAGGGGUCAAUCUUUUAAAAAUCUUCUGAGAAUAGCAGGACCAGGGUGAUUCAAGUGAGCGGUGUGGCCCACUGUCCUCUUGUUUAAGAUGUUGAGAACAAUUCAAGUCUGAGGAAUGUUGAGAGCAUGAUACACCGCUACAGAAUGAUUCAGGGUGCUUAUAUCUGGUCUACCGAGAAAUUACAUGAUCUCAAGUUACUAACACUGCUAUAGGCACGAUGUGUCUCUGUAAUCCACUUCGUCAGUACUUAUAUAGGUCAGUACCAUUGUACAUGUACUUCAUAUAUUGCAUAAUUCAUCGUCAAUAAAGUCAGAUAAGACCAUCCAAGUCUAAAUGGAAGAAAGGGUGAGAAGAAUGCAAAUACAGGUACAUUUAUUGGAACAAGGAUAGGUAGAAAAUGACCAGGUGCGUGCACAGUAUAAGAGGCAACAGGAAGUUACAUAGUUACACAAUAAGGACCGUGAAAACAAUACACAAAAAUAGUUACAUGUAAAGUCACCUUACGAUUUCUUGUCGAAUUCGAUAUUUCUUUACAUUUCAAGAUAUAGAGAUGCCUUUUUAGAUUGUAUGUCGUUAAAAGUCUUUUACAUUUCAAGAUAUCUUUUAUUUUAUAGAGAUGUCUGUUUAGAGGAAGGUAUACACGCACCUAUAGACAAGGAACUAUUCGACUUGGAGAGUUAUCGUUUUGAUCUAUAAUGAUAUCUAUUUUUCUUUAGAGAUAAUGUUUAAAAUAUAUCUCUUAUAUACUUUUAUUCAGUUUGUAAGUAAAAUGUCCAGAGUUUACAUAUCGAUAAAGUCCUAAAAAAGAAUGUUUGGUUUUUAUAAUUUCAAUUUGUUAAUGUAUUAACAAUUUUCAAAAAAUAAAUAGUUUCCCUGCACUACGUUAUUUGCUUCCAGGCGCGUAUAAAUUCAUCACGUUUUAAGAUUUAUUGAUGUGUAAAUUCUCGUUCAGCUUUAUUUCUGUCCAAUCAAAACAAUUGUAAUAACAUUGGAAUUAUACAAAGAUAUCUUUUACUGAUAAAAAUAUUUUUCAUAAUUUACAUAUCUCUUGAUACUCUGUUCUUAUGUUUCCUAAAAGAGAAAUCUCUUAUAUAGGGUAUCUUAUAUACAGAAGAAAUCUCUGACACAAACGAAAACAUUUCGAUAAAUUGAUUGAUUGUUUUUACGUCCCGUCGAGAAUUUUCACUCAUAUGGAGACAUCACCAGCUGUAGGUGUGAAGUACCACAAAUUCAGACCCAUGCAUUGCGAUCUGGGCCGUAGAAGUGAGGGUUUUAUAUCGCGCCAACUCCUGUUGUUAAAGUCAUAUCAAUCCGAAAGAACCGUAAAUGCCGAUCGUUUGGCGAAGGAGCAAUCACUACCUGUUUGAAGACCCAGGUUUAAUGCGGCCAUGGCAUGAGCGGGGAUCGAACUCACAACUUCCCGGUUACGAAGCGAAUGCUCUCCCACUGGGUUACUGCGAUCGGUCUCGAUAAAUUGAGAAGAUAUUGAAUUCUACAAUGGCCUCAUAUAUAUAAUAGUUGAACCAAUGUCUAGGCCAUCCCACCAGAAGUUAAUUUCAGUUGGUAUUUGGCGAAUGGAAUCACACAAUCCAAUACUUACGGAGAUCUCAUCAAUGAGCUACAACCAAGAGGCAAUUACAAUGAAACAGUGCUGUAAGAAAACCCAAAGAUUACGAUUGGACAAGUUAACCAAGUCGGGGUUUAUUUUACAUCAUACUUUCAAACAAAAACAUCCAAUUACAGUCGAGCUCGAAAUGUCAUCACGUGAUUUCUUUCUCUGGUACUUUCCCACCACGGUAGUCUCGUUCAACCAGACACUCGGCUGUCUCCGUAAAUCUACGACGAGCAGAGAAUCUGGUAAAGACACGCGAUAAUAACUGUUACCGCUAGGGAGCGCUAAUUUAGUUUCCGUUGGAUUUUCUCUGACAUAAACAGUCAAUUCCGAAAUUUGAUGCUAAUUAGUUGAUCCUUCAUUAGUGAUUACUAAUGGGAAAAUAUUACUACAUGUACAACAAGAAACAUUGGUGCACGCACCAAAGUUAUGGGCCGAACAAAUUUCCAAGAGAGUAUCAUUGUUUCCAUAAACUAAAACUGUCUCGUAAACAUAUUGAUUGGACAAGUGUCCAAAUUCGACCCAUUAACAUACAAAAUGAACAGUAAUCUGUUACUCCUUAAAGAUCUGUGAACUACGUAUGUUCAGUAGGCAAAGGUUCUCCAGUGGACUUUUUUAAAGAGCAGUCUGAACCUUAACCUUAAACAAUUGUGACCUCAGAAUAAUGUGUUUAUAUGCUGCUUUACGUCUCAUUCUCGAAUUUUUCACUCUUAUAGAGACAUCACCUUCGGUCGAAUUGAGCAGUGAGGGUUCUUUAUCGUGCUAACGCCUAUCGUGACACAGGACCAUGGCUUACAAGCCUCAUCUGAAUGACCUCAAAAUAAUAGAUAUGGGUUAUUCUGCUCCUUGGAUGUUAUAAGUUUGAUGAAUAUUUACAAUGUUCAUUAUUGGAAAAUUUUGAGCUUUUAUCACUUGAAUAUAUUAAGCAAACAUUUUCUAAUGUGCAAAAUAAUUCAACCAAUGACUGUUGCAUGAAUACUGCAUUAAUUUAAUUUCACACUUUCCAUAUUAAAACUGUGACAUUUAAUUUGGGUUAUCCAAAUAUCAUAACCUUUCGCUAUGAAAUAAAUCAGAUUUAUUCAAGAUUGAAAAUUUUAUUGGCACAACCUGUGACAAUAUUUAACAAAAUAGUAUAAUGCAAUAAUCAAAACAUUCUUUAGCACCCUUGGAAUUAUGCAUUUUUCAAAAAAAAAAAAUGACGCCACCUCUAUAAAUAGGUCAGCAGAUAAGCGCACGUGACCUGUGUGUUACACAAAAAAACCCAACAAAAACAAAAAAACAAAACAAAAACAAAUGUUUAAAAAACACCACCGAAUUACUUUACAUACAAAAUGAAAACGUAUCAUGAUAAUCAGUAAUCCAACUUAAAAAAAAAAUACACACUCAUCCCGCAGAAACUCAUACACUUCUCAAAUUCUUAUUUCAUAGAAUGGGCCGGCUCGUGCCGGCCCAUAAUAAAAAAAUAUUACGCUCUUUGUCAGCUGGAAAUUGUACUUUCACUUUUGCCUCCUAAAGUAAUUUUGAUAAAACGGUUUUACCAUUUCCCGUCGGUAGAACAGCAAAUAAAUCCUUUCCUUUUACAAAAGUUUUUAUAAACACUCUAGUUGUAAAUGAUUAAUCUUAAACGGAAAAUUCAAUCUAUUACAAAUUUCUUCGGUAGUCGUUAUUUUGAAGGUGUGUUGAAUCAACCAAUCAAAUUAAAUACCGAAAUUUUGGUAAGUCUCGCUCUGACGUUACAAACGUUAUCGCGUAUCUUUACCAGACGCUCUGCUCUUCGGAUAAUUACGGGAAAAGCAGAGCGUCUGGUUGCACGAGACAACCACCACGGUAGUUUUUGUUAAAAUAGCUUAGAAUUGAAUAUUUUGGGGGUAAACUAGACAAUUAAACAAAAGACAUUUACAUUGCUUAGAUAUUGUAUUAUGGGUGAAAAACAUGUUAAGGUUUUAUUGCAUUGAAAAAGUAGGAAGAAUUGUUUUAGCAUACUAAAAUUGAUGUCUCCCCUUCCAUUUCCAUAGUUUUUAAAAGAUUUUUAGGGAUCAUCUUUAAAGUGGAAAACUAAGAGUUAUGGUACAUAACAGUCACCUAUAUGUGCUUCAACCAAGGAACAGUGUUGUGAACAUAUGAUAGUAAAUUAAACUUAUCAACAUACCAAAUAUCAAAGGCCCAUGUCAAAAGACAAAAAAUUUAUGGUCCGGACAAAAAAAAAAAUCACAAAAUAAUCCAUCAUUUACAUAAAAGAUCAAGGGUAAAAGGUAAUCAAAAAUGGCACGUGCCACACUGUCUUAUCAUGAUAUACCACAUAUCAACGACCUACGUCAGAAGACAAAAACGUUAUGGUCUGGAUAAAAAAAAUGCCCCCAAAAUUCUAUUAUUUGACUUUUACAUAAACGGUCAAUGUUUUUAAAAAUGGUACGCGACACACUGUCUUAUUAUUGUAUACCCACAUACCAAAUAUCAAAGGCCUAUGUCAAAAGACAAACUUUGUAUGAGAAGAGGAAGAAGAAUUCACACUAAAACAAUAUGCCCCCCUUCUGGGAAAGAGAAACAUGAUUAUGCUAAGCUUGCGAUUCAUGUCCUUUCAAGAGAUCCAUACGGUACCUCCUUGUGGUCGAUGUAAAGAUAAAUUAUGCUCAGUGUUGAGUUACGGUUGUGAUACCUUGAUGUCACGGUAUCACAUGAUGUCACGGUAUCACAUGAUGUCACGGGCGCUUGAUGACGAAACAGUUACUACCUAUGUUAAACGCAAACUUCCACCAGAGUUCACGUUCGUUUGCUCACAAACCAAACUCUUCCACUUAGGCAUUAUGGGAUAGCGAUUUCCUAGGCCGCGUAUACUGUGACGUCACUGUAGAAUGACGAAAAAACAUAACGUCAAACGUAAACAGCUUUCAAAACAAGAACGUAAACAUCAAGUUCAUUACUUUACACAAUGAUUUGUACAGUCUCCCUACUUUUUAAUGAUCUUUUGAUCAUUUUAUGUUUAAAAUAAAAUCCAUACUUUUAUAUUAAUGCUCUUAAUAUUAAUAUCUUCAAACUUUUAACUGCGAACUACUUCUUUAGUGUAAUUUGUCUGCGUGAUAAUCGCGGACUCACAAUAUACAAAUCUGUAUAUUGUACUGCGUCACAUAGGAGAGGUCUAUUCGUAGGUGACGUAAUAAGGCCUCGACGGGGAGUUUGUGUUAAACGCAAUAGCUUUGAUGCGGCGCCAGAAUAAAACAUCAAGCCUAGGCCUUCCGGUUUUGAUGUCACAUAAAGUUUACAUACAAAUUUUAUAUACGAUAUCCGUCCUCCUGUGAUCCUGUAUCAAAAGAUGUAGACGUGUUAUGGUUAACAUAUUUCCCUCAGAAAUGUUUCCUUCAACUGAUGUCAUGAGACAAGAAUGAAGUGAAGCCUUUCCGGCAAGCCGAGAAGACGCGAUUGAUUUACAACAUGAUCAGCAUAGAAUUGUGUAGGUGUUCAGUGUCGGUUAUAUUUAUAAAAGUUUUUAUCAGUUUAUGAAUAUUUAUAAUAAUUAUUUUACUGAUAUGUAUCUCAUUCAAUGAAGGACACCCCCCCCCCCCCCUCCCGAGACCAACGAUCUGACAUAUCGAUGAAUUUUUAAAUACGACUGUUUGUAAUAAUUUAUCAACAGUUACUGAUAUGUACAAACACAAAGAUAAGCACAAGGAAAGUUUUUUUGUUUUUUUUUUUUUUGGUUGAACAUGUUUUGUGAUGAAACAGAUCUUGAAAGUAAGUAAUAUGUCGAAAACUGUCCAAUAUGUCAGAUAUCUAAUGGUCCAGGACUGUUCUGGGAAGUUUGUGCCUUAUGACUUAAACAUUUUCCCUGGUUGUACAACUUGACAAUGCCCAAGAAAUCAGGCCACUGUUUACAAUAUAGCAGUUUUUCUGUUUGUCAUUCAUAUCGUGCACUUACAUUUUCGAUUAUUGCGUUUGACGAGAGGAAAGUAUGUGUAUUCAUAAUUUUGCCCUUAAAUUGUCGCACUGGAAAAAAAACCCAACUCUCAUUAUAAACACAUUCGCAAUACUGAGUUUCGAAUAUUGAAAUCAUGAACGACCGUUCACUUUGUAUUUGGUCAACUAUUUGGCAUGGCGGAUUACGAUUGCAUUCAUAAUUCAAUUUUCAAUACAAAGAGAUUAAUUAUGCUACAUAAGGAACAUUUGGAGCUCUAAGUUACUUCUUAAUAAUCAAGUUUAAUUUACUGUAUAUGAUAUUAAUAAAUAUAGAUAUCCGGUAAUGCACGCAAUUAUUGAACUAUUUUUCUUAAAUUCAUUUGAAUUAAAGAUAUCAUUCUUUCCAUAAAUGUGCGCAACAAUUCAAACACGCAUCAAAAUGUCCUUUAUUUAAUUCUGAUUUCACGCGCUUGCGCGGGGUUUCAUCUAGUAGUAUUUACAAAAUAAGGAUACGUCAUUAUGAUAUGGGUUUCUAUUAGCUGGGGAACACCGCAAUCUACAGUAUCAUUCGGGGGUUUCUAUCAAUUCCUCAUCCUAGUAUAAACAAAUUCUAUAUGAAAAAGAUAUUGUUUAAAUGAUAAAUACAUAUAUGUGUAUCACAGAAAGUGGCUUGAAUACAGGUCCAUGUAUAAAAAUGCGUUUUAUUUACCGUAAAUCAAUCAACCGACAUUUCUGUAAAAAUAGGGGGAAAGACAUGAAGUCGCUCCAAUAAAAGGUAUGUACAUGUAUAUAGGUAUAAAAUUAUAUGCUUUCGUUAUUUUUUGUGAUAGUACAAAAAGGUGUGUAUCAUUCAUCAGCGUGUAUGACGGAACAUCAAUUCUUUUUUCCAGGUCGCCACACAUCCAUGACAUCCAGUUGACAAGGGAUGGAACCGGUUUUUGUCGGUUUGAUAUAAAAAAUAAAUUUCUUGACAAUGUAAGCAAGUGCUACACUCACUGACAUCUUUACAAUGUAUGAAAGAAUGCAAAUAGAACUUUAUUAAGAUACCUUCCGAAUUGUUAAUGACAUAUUUGUGCUAUAGACUUUAUUCAGUUUAUUCAAACAUAUGUGCAUUUGUAAAUCAACUCCUUGAAAAGUACAAGGGCCUGUAAUCUGUAACAUUAUAUAGAUAGAAUAUAGUACAAGGGCCUGUAAUCUGUAACAUUAUACAGAUAGAAUACGGUACAAGGGCCUGUAAUCUGUAACAUUAUAUAGAUAUAAUACGGUACAAGGGCCGGUAAUCUGUAACAUUAUAUAGAUAGAAUACGGUACAAGGGCCGGUAAUCUGUAACAUACAAAUAGAAUACGGUACAAGGGCUUGUAAUCUGUAACAUUAUAUAGAUAGAAUAUGGGACAGAGGCUUGUAAUCUGUAACAUUAUACAGAUAGAAUACGGUAUAAGGGCCUGUAAUCUGUAACAUUAUAUAGAUAGAAUAUGAUACAAGGGCCUGUAAUCUGUAACAUUAUAUAGAUAGAAUAUGAUACAAGGGCCUAUAAUCUGUAACACUAUAUAGAUAGAAUACGGUACAAGGGCCUGUAAUCUGUAACAUUAUAUAGAUAGAAUACGGUACAAGGCCCUGUAAUAUGUAACAUUUUAUAGAUAAAAUACGGUACAAGGGCUUGUAAUAUGUAACAUUAUAUAGAUAGAAUACGGUACAAGGGCCUGUAAUCUGUAACAUUAUACAGAUAGAAUACGGUACAAGGGCCUGUAAUCUGUAACAUUAUAUAGAUAUAAUACGGUACAAGGGCCGGUAAUCUGUAACAUUAUAUAGAUAGAAUACGGUACAAGGGCCGGUAAUCUGUAACAUACAAAUAGAAUACGGUACAAGGGCUUGUAAUCUGUAACAUUAUAUAGAUAGAAUAUGGGACAGAGGCUUGUAAUCUGUAACAUUAUACAGAUACUGUAGAAUACGGUAUAAGGGCCUGUAAUCUGUAACAUUAUAUAGAUAGAAUAUGAUACAAGGGCCUGUAAUCUGUAACAGUAUAUAGAUAGAAUACGGUACAAUGGCCUGUAAUCUGUAACAUUAUAUAGAUAGAAUACGGUACAAGGCCCUGUAAUAUGUAACAUUAUAUAGAUAGAAUACGGUACAAGGCCCUGUAAUAUGUAACAUUUUAUAGAUAAAAUACGGUACAAGGGCUUGUAAUAUGUAACAUUAUAUAGAUAGAAUACGGUACAAGGGCCGGUAAUCUGUAACAUUAUACAGAUAGAAUACGGUACAAGGGCCUGUAAUCUGUAACAUUAUAUAGAUAUAAUACGGUACAAGGGCCGGUAAUCUGUAACAUUAUAUAGAUAGAAUACGGUACAAGGGCCGGUAAUCUGUAACAUACAAAUAGAAUACGGUAUAAGGGCUUGUAAUCUGUAACAUUAUAUAGAUAGAAUAUGGGACAGAGGAUUGUAAUCUGUAACAUUAUACAGAUAGAAUACGGUAUAAGGGCCUGUAAUCUGUAACAUUAUAUAGAUAGAAUAUGAUACAAGGGCCUGUAAUCUGUAACAGUAUAUAGAUAGAAUACGGUACAAGGGCCUGUAAUCUGUAACAUUAUAUAGAUAGAUAUAGUACAAGGGCCUGUAAUCUGUAACAUUAUAUAGAUAGAAUAUGAUACAAGGGCCUAUAAUCUGUAACAGUAUAUAGAUAGAAUACGGUACAAGGCCCUGUAAUAUGUAACAUUUUAUAGAUAAAAUACGGUACAAGGCCCUGUAAUCUGUAACAUUAUAUAGAUAGAAUACGGUACAAGGGCCUGUAAUCUGUAACAUUAUAUAGAUAAAAUACGGUACAAGGGCCUGUAAUCUGUAACAUUAUAUAACCCUCAGGAAAACAAAAUGUUGCCAUGGAUGCUUUUUUUUUUUGUUGCUUCUAAUUAUGUGAAAAAUAUUUCUGCAUUUGCCCCAAGUUUCUCUCCUUGGGUGUCACCAUUCUUUAGUCGCUGAUGGAUGCAGCAAUUAAGUCGAAAGAACACUGGUAUUAAUCAACUACGUCAUGGAUUUUUUUUUAUUCCUCAUCUACUUCCUAUCAAAACCUUUACCAACAUUGUCGACAUGUGUAUUCAUUUAUAUUGCUUCUUGUAUGUACAGGAUAUUUCAUAUAUCUUUUUAAAUAACUAUACAUCAAACUAUGGAGAUUGUUUUAUAGAUUAUGUACACACGUUAUGUAACCCUACGUGUUCAUUCUUUGGAUUGAUUGUAACAUAUUUCAUAAUUUUAUUGCACAGUAUGGGUGUGCAUUGGAAUUAGGGCACUAGUUCUAAUAAACUUAGUACACCCGUUCUCCUCUAGUAUUUCAUAUAGGUAAAGGUCAAGACAAUAUAUUAAACAAACGUAAUGCAUGCUGUAUUAAAGAUUUUAAAACCUUUAAUAACCUAAAUGUAGCAUAAGAUUUUGGUAAUUACAUGUAUAGCACCUACCAGUAUUUUGAAUCAAUAUAUCGAUGCAAUCAUAAAAGCGUAUGUACAUGAAGAAAGCGUCCAGAACAGCUAAUAAACGUGGAGGUAUUCAUUUUCCGCGACUCUUGCGGUUUGUUUGCACCUAAAUCACCAACAUUAGAAGUACUCUGUUGAUGGGUAUGACAUUUUGUUGAUGAAAUUGAAAAGUGCGUUUGUAUUUAUAGUAUCAAGGCAUUUAAUUAAUUUUACUAAUUUGAUAAUAAAAGUUGGA
This is a long non-coding RNA of Ostrea edulis (European flat oyster), 12920 nucleotides long. RefSeq lists it as uncharacterized. The transcript is spliced from 3 exons. The record is from RefSeq and is a predicted model, not a curated record. Lineage: Eukaryota; Metazoa; Mollusca; Bivalvia; Ostreida; Ostreidae.